AAUACAGAUGAAUCCCAAACAACGUUUCCCGACCAGUUCUGUUGUUUCCCGUGUAUCGUAAGAAUCAACGUCAUGGCACCCGGUAAAAAACGUUCUGUGGCUUGGGAUCAUUUCAACUUGAUUUCUCCAAAUACGGUAAUACACUAUUAACGUUAUUUUAUUAGUAGCCAUUGCUGAUUAUGUCAGUUUUAUAGGUAUGUCUGUCAGUUGAAAGGAAUCAUUUUUAUUCUUUCCAUUUUUUUUUAGGUGCAAUGUUUGAUUUGCAAACAUGAAUUUGCAUUUAAUGAUAGUACAUCCUCCAUGAUGCGACAUCUCCGCUCCGUUCAUCAUGUUGAAACUCCGCAGUCGGCAAAUCAAGCCUUCAAUCCACCUCAUAUUGUGUCAAGAAAGCAAGAACUUGAUUCUGCAUUGGUGGAUAUGAUUGUAAUGGAUGCACAACCAUUUUCAAUUGUUGAAGACAAAGGCUUCAAGGCUUUUGUCAACCUUUUGGACCCAUCCUACAUAAUUCCUAAUAGGAAGGCCUUGAGGACAAUGGUGGAGGAGAAGUACAAAGCCAAAAAGGAGAAGGCUUUAGAUGUGGUUAGCAGGGCCUCUGCUGUCAGCCUUACAGCAGACAUGUGGACAUCCAUUAACAUGGACGCUUACUUGGCUGUAACAUGCCAUUUUAUCACCGAGGAGGUAGGUAUCCCCUGCUUUGUGCAAUGCUUUGGUUUAUGUAUCUCAGUUUGACUUUGUUCAUUCUAGGUGGAGCUGGCCUCUGUGGUCUUGGGGGUUCUGAAGUUUCCCCAAACCCACACUGCAGCUCACUUGGCUGAGGCCAAAAAUCUUCUCAUGGAAGAAUGGGGAAUUAAAGGGAAGGUGACAGGCCUGGUUACAGACUGUGCUCCCAACAUGGUUGCAUGUGCUAAUAUAUUACUGCUUCGGCACAUAAUGUGUUUUGCACAUAUGCUUAAUUUGGUGGUGAAAAAGUCCCUUGCCCAAACCCCUGAACUAGAGGAUAUCCGAAGUAAGGGGCGUAAGAUUGUCGGUCUUUUUAAAUCCAGCACCACAGCGAAGGAGAAGCUGUCAGAGAUGCAGCGACAGCUGGCCAGGCCAGAGCACAAAUUAAUACAAGAGGUGGAAACAAGAUGGAA
Oryzias latipes (Japanese medaka) is the source of this 1133-nucleotide non-coding RNA. Lineage: Eukaryota; Metazoa; Chordata; Actinopteri; Beloniformes; Adrianichthyidae. The record is from RefSeq and is a predicted model, not a curated record.